CGUUGGAAGAUUGAGAGGGGUUGCUCCUAGUACGAGAGGACCGGAGUGAACGCACCACUGGUGUUCGGGUUGUCAUGCCAAUGGCAUUGCCCGGUAGCUAAGUGCGGAAAAGAUAAGCGCUGAAAGCAUCUAAGCGCGAAACUUGCCUCAAGAUGAGUCUUCCCUGGGCCUUCAAGGCCCCUGAAGGAACGUUUAAGACUAAGACGUUGAUAGGCUGGGUGUGUAAGUGCAGCGAUGCAUUGAGCUAACCAGUACUAAUGAUCCGUGAGGCUUAACCU
RNAcentral lists this ribosomal RNA (278 nucleotides) under Serratia sp. CC22-02. RNAcentral's name for it is "23S rRNA. Bacterial LSU". It matches the Rfam family "Bacterial large subunit ribosomal RNA", at positions 2652 to 2925 of the family's 2925-position model. The record is from RNAcentral. Lineage: Bacteria; Pseudomonadati; Pseudomonadota; Gammaproteobacteria; Enterobacterales; Yersiniaceae.